UGCCCAGCAACUCCUAUCCCUACCUCCUCGUGGUACUGGCCGGGGUACGAGUAACCUUGGGGUAGAUCGGGUAACCAACCCCCGGUGGGAACUUUGGUCGUAUGCUGACAGGGAAGG
Molecule: non-coding RNA, 117 nt
Organism: Aedes aegypti (yellow fever mosquito)
Lineage: Eukaryota; Metazoa; Arthropoda; Insecta; Diptera; Culicidae
Source: Rfam